GAUGAACGCUGGCGGCGUGCCUAAUACAUGCAAGUCGAGCGAACAGACGAGGAGCUUGCUCCUCUGACGUUAGAAGCGGACGGGUGAGUAACACGUGGAUAACCUACCUAUAAGACUGGGAUAACUUCGGGAAACCGGAGCUAAUACCGGAUAAUAUAUUGAACCGCAUGGGUCAAUCGUGAAAGACGGUUUUGCUGUCACUUAUAGAUGGAUCCGCGCCGCAUUAGCUAGUUGGUAAGGUCACGGCUUACCAAGGCAACGAUGCGUAGCCGACCUGAGGGGGACGUCGCCCACACUGUAUCUGAGACUCGGCCCACACACUGACGGGAGGCCGCGGUAGGGACUCUUACGCAAGGCGCCAGUGCGUGACGGUGCAACGCCGCGGGAGGGAUGAAGGUCUUCUGAUCCUAGAACUCUGAUAUUAUUAAAGAUCAAAUGUGUAAGUAACUAGGCUCGUAUUGACGGUACCGAAAGAGAAAGCCCCGGCUAACUACGUG
Molecule: ribosomal RNA, 497 nt
Filed under: uncultured bacterium
Lineage: Bacteria
Description: partial 16S ribosomal RNA
Rfam family: Bacterial small subunit ribosomal RNA
Source: RNAcentral